UGUAGACGAGGCAUAAAGGUUCUCAGGCCGGCGUCCCAUUGAGUGGAAAUCCACGGCGGCACGAAACGCGCGGAGCCAGCGCGACCAAUUAGGGAAACAAAAAAAGCGCAGGAAAGAAAACGGAAUAGCUGUGAUUGGUCGCACUGGUUCCGCGCGUUCUGUUCCGUUGUGGAUUUCCGCCCAAUGGAACGCCGGCCUUAUGCCCGGUCUACAUCGGCUGUCUUGGAAUGUAUAGACGUUAGGUUAGACGUGUUCACGUGUAGUGGUCUCCCGCUAUUAGUGCGUAAAUUAGCAAUAAACAUUUCUAAGCUACCUUUUUCAAAAAGGUACCUUUUUGUGUCGGAUUAGUACUCGCGUUCUCGCGUAUCUGCCCUCCCUAGUGCUUCUUUUCUCACACGGAUUGUGGACCAUCGAUUGUUCUCGGCUUUGGCCAUUGCCUCGGACAAAAGCAUUGACUUAUAGCACACAAGCACGGUUUUUUGAGAAGAAGCAACAAUAUAUCGUAAUAUAGUAAAUCGGACCUUCGAACACCAGAUUUUAGAAAAAAUAUAUAUAUAAUACAAGUUUAUAUAAAGAAAGCAUUGCCUUUUUUGGAAGAGACAAUACUGUAACAUACUGAGGCCGAUGCAUGUGGCUGAUUUAAUAACAGUCUCUUUCUACAUAGUGAAUAAUUCUGCUUUUUGAUGGAUUCAUGCUACUCGAUGAACUUGCUUCUUUAAUAAACUGCAAUAUAUACUGCCUGAUAUACUGUCAUUUUUAAUUACAAACUUUGUGUAAUUAUGGAUGACCAAUACAUGGAAGAGA
Long non-coding RNA from Camponotus floridanus (Florida carpenter ant), 804 nucleotides. RefSeq lists it as uncharacterized. NCBI's taxonomy places the organism in Eukaryota, Metazoa, Arthropoda, Insecta, Hymenoptera, Formicidae. The record is from RefSeq and is a predicted model, not a curated record. The transcript has 3 exons.